RNAcentral lists this ribosomal RNA (338 nucleotides) under uncultured bacterium. RNAcentral's name for it is "bacterial SSU rRNA". It matches the Rfam family "Bacterial small subunit ribosomal RNA", at positions 1 to 334 of the family's 1533-position model. The record is from RNAcentral.
ACACGUGAUUCAGAGUUUGAUCCUGGCUCAGAACGAACGCUGGCGGCGUGCUUAACACAUGCAAGUCGAACGGUGACCUCGGAGCUUGCUCCGGGCGAUCAGUGGCGAACGGGUGAGUAACACGUGACCAACCUGCCCCUUGCUCUGGGAUAACCCCGGGAAACCGGAGCUAAUACCGGAUACGAGACCGAGCGACAUCGCUCAGUCUGGAAAGUUUUUCGGCAAGGGAUGGGGUCGCGGCCUAUCAGCUUGUUGGUGGGGUAAUGGCCCACCAAGGCGACGACGGGUAGCCGGCCUGAGAGGGCGACCGGCCACACUGGGACUGAGACACGGCCCAG